RNAcentral lists this ribosomal RNA (39 nucleotides) under Inocybe incarnata. RNAcentral's name for it is "partial 18S ribosomal RNA". The record is from RNAcentral. Lineage: Eukaryota; Fungi; Basidiomycota; Agaricomycetes; Agaricales; Inocybaceae.
GUAUCAUGCUUUCCGUAGGUGACCUGCGUAGAUUCAUUA